GGACUGGAGAGGGGUGGACUACAUGAAGAUUGGGGCUCACUCAGGACUGGCCUGUUCAAGUAGGGAGGCAGGACCGGGGCUGAGACCACCUUACACUGCUCAGCCCCCCCGCCCCCCACCCACCCAUCACACCCCCCACCAGCACCCCUCCUCCACUCCCGACACACUCUCUCUCCCUUGUCCUGUGCCUGUCUCUCUCCAUUCUACCAAGCAGCCAGCCAGACCUCCUCUCUCUUCUUCUGCCCUGUCGACAUCCCUCGCCUUUCCACGCCUUUCUCCCUCAGCCUCCUCAGCCGUGGCCGUCUGCCCUCGCCGCCUCAGACUUGGACCGUCAAUCUAUCUACAACAAGUUCCCUGGGACUUUUUCAGAAACUUUUUCCUCAAUUACUUUUUUCUUUUUUUGCUACCUCCCUUGAGACUCCAGUGCGGGUUGUGCUGUGUGUGAUAGGGGAUAGUGUUGCUCUUCGCCCUCGGGGUCUCUGUACGCUGUUGACCGGAGGAGAAGACUACUUGUCACCAUGAUCAAAGUUCAGCUGCUGCUCUUGCUGGGCCUGGUCGGCCCCUUCUGUGCCGUCGCACACGCAAGGGCUGUUAUGGCGGAGACUCCAUGAACAGGAAAUGAGGCAGCAGAUGAGGCAUGCGAGUGCACAAACACGGUCCAAGACAGGAUGGAAAGGGGCAAGGUGGAUGGGACUGGGGAGGAGGAGGGAGGACCAACAUUUGUUUAGUCAUGGGUUGUGGCAGCCAUGUUCUUACUGCUACUGAUGUGUCAAGCUAUGGGCUGGGAGAGAAAUAAAAAAAUGUCAAGAAAGAGCUAAUAUUUGUCAUUUUUCUUUAGAGUUUUCCCACAAUGCCCUUGCAAUGAGGGACUUUCUAACUGUUCCCUCUUUCCAGCGAAUACAUUUCAAAACGAUUGUGAAAUGACAGUGAAUUUUUAUGGUCAUACUCAAAGUAAUUCACCUCAGUUGUCAUGUAUCCAAUCACAAGUGGUAGCCCUUCUCUUCAGCGUGUGUGAAUAUUGUUAAUUUGCCUCUAGCAGUCUCUGACCUCUUUGCUGCCCCUCAGGCACACUGGUGACCCCAUUAGAAAGGGUGUCGGAUAUCCCUGCUGCCACCGAUAUCCUCGAAGGCGCCACCGAUGCCCCCACGGCUGAACCCAAGACUGCGACCGAUGAGGUCGGAACGAAAGCCCCUGCCACCGAUAAACCCGUCACUACUCAGGUCGAUGAGGCUGCCCCGAAUGUGACAGAGGCCGCUCCCACGGAGACCGAGGCCACUGAGGCUGCCGGGCAGGAGGCGGCCACAACGGAGGCCCCUGCUGUUGCCACCAUGGCCCCGGCGAACCCCGAAGCCACGGCAGAGGCUGAGGAGGAGGAGUUGGUGGUGGAGGAGGGUAAGGAUAGGAGAUGUCAGCUACAGAUGUAGAGAUCAUGAAGCUGAGAAACUCUGUCAAUGCUACGGUCUGUAGGUGCUCCCUUAGGCUGGAAUCAGAGGGCAAGGAUAGGUGUAGAGCUCAAGAUGAAAUUGCUCUGCCCCCAGUCUCUAAAUUUCUAUCCUUGCCUUUUAGGCAAUUGUCUCUCUCCCCAUUUCUAUAAUUUUUUCCCCUUCUCUCAGUUUCCUUCCUGUUUCACCAAACGGGUUGUUGAUUCCCUAUGGUUGGGUAACUUGGUCUUUGUGUUCCUUCCACAGAGGGCACUGGCUCUGGACAAGUGGUGGGUAUUGUGAUUGGCGCAUUGGUGGCAGUGAUCAUUGUCAUCGCCGUGGUGAUCGCCUUGGUGAGGAGAAUGGGCAAAUACUCGUAAGUUCCUCCAAGGGAUACACCCAUUGAACUAGAAUUGGUCAAUUUAUUUCUAUGAAUAUAUACAUACACACACACACACACACUCAUGUGCACAUGUACACACACUCUGCAUGUCCUGUUUGCCUUGUGAUCUUAGAGGACUAAGCAUGCUGUAGAAGCAUGAAGCUACUACUGUAUAAAACUAUACUCUCAUGUUCACAACUUAUACAUGUACUUUAAAGGGCUAUUUUGGGAUUUUGGAAAUUAAGCCCAUUAUCUACUUUCCCAGAGGCAGAUGAAUAAUUUUUUUAACCAUUUUUUCCCUCUGCAUCCAGUAUGAGGGAAGUUAGAGGUAGCAAGCCAAUGCUAACUAGCUAUGUGCAAACACUGAAAGUCUACGGGAUCAGUUAGCAUCCGUUAUACUGGACGCAGAGACAUAACAUUUGCUAUCACAGGAGGUUGGUUAAUUGGGGAGGAUGGGCUUGUGGUAAUGGCUGGAGUGGAAUGGUAUCAAAUGCGUAAAAACAUGGCUUCCGUGUGUUUGAUGCCAUUCCAGCCAUUAUUAUGAGCCGUCCUGCCCUCAGCAGCCUACACUGUUUGCCAUCCACGUGUUCAUCUGACUCUGGGGAAGUAGAUAAAGGGCUUCAUUGCCAAAAUACUAUGGUGAAAUGGGUGCAAUGGGUGAAAUGGGUGCAAUGGGUGUUACGAAGCACAUAGUUUAAUAGAUAAGACAACCUGCAUCACUUGUCAACCAUAACUGGUCCUCUGAAAAUAACACAUUUGAGUCAUAGAUUCAAAUAGAAGUGUCUGUAUUCCUUUAAAAAAAUAUGUUUUGGCCUCCCGAGUGGUGCAGUGGUCUAAGGCACUGCAGUGCUAGCUGUGCCACUAGAGAUUCUGAGUUCCGAGUCCAGGCUGUCGCAGCCGGCUGGUAAUUUUUUUAAUGUAUCUAUAGAUGUUUUAAAUGGGAACAAGAAGUGUGUUCCAAUAUUGGACACGACAGCUGCUGUACUCCUUACCACACCGCACACCUUUUCCUCUGAAAAUAUUGUUAUGUUUGGGGAUGUGCUUGCCUGCUAACAGGGAGGGGAAAAAAUGCCACAGGGCUGUUGCUAAGAAAAAGGCUGCCACAAAAGAGAGCAUCUUGGUUUCUGUCAUUUUCUCUGACUGUUUUCCCAGUUAAUCAUCUUAACCCCAUGACUCUCUGUGGUCCAAAGUCACAGACACAAAACAAAUGAUGCGUCUUAUAUUGAACCCUAUUCCUUUUUUAGGGCCCUGGUCAAAAGUAGUGCUCCAUAAAGGAGAAUGCCAUUUAGGAUGCGCCCUUUGUGUCUGUCCAUCGCCGAUCGACAGGCUGUUGGUUGCUACUGCUCUCUGAGACAUCCACUCAUGGGCCAAUGAGCCAUCAGGCAUUGUUCAUUCAGUGAAACAAGUGGCUUUAUUUGCACUUCAAUUUCAGUCAAAGGGCUCAUGUAUGGACUUAGUGGGUCCAUUGACAAAUGGUCAGUUCUGAUUGAUUGAUUAGGCUGGCUGUCUCAAUGGCGUAAUGGUUCGAAGCGGAGUAGCAACUCAAGGCUGUCAUCUUGAAUGAAUUAGUUAUCAGGAUAACACAGAUUUGUUGUUGGUCCGUUUUGAAUCACUUUUGUUUUUUAUUGUACCAACUUGACUUAAACUGUGUGAACUGAGUACAGUGUAUUAAAUAAAUACCAUUAUGUUAAGUAUGUUUCUCCUUUAAACCAUUCAAAACUAACUAUAUCCUUAUACUUCCCGAAUGGCUGUAGUGCCCAUAACUAAGAUAGCAUGCAGUAUAUGAGUGACUGGAAUUCAUUCAGUUACAAUCACCCAUGUUUUUAUUUCCUCAUUUUGGGGUCAUCCCCCCUCUACGAAUUAUCACAUUUCAUGAAACAUUUACUAAAAGUAAUGUUCUCCAUGUGCUGUGGUAUCGUUAAAAUCAUAAACCAAGCAGCUUUUUAGAUCUCAUUUAUCCAAACCAUUUUUUAAAUCAUCUGAAAUGUAUGAGCCGUGAGCAGAUUUUGUUGUGUGUUGGCCUGUGUGUUUUACUCUUUCUCCUUCUCUUCAUCCCUCAGCCCCUGAGGAGAAAGGCUGCAAGACAGGAAGUCCCAAAAAAGUUCUGGCAAUUCUGAACUACGUAAUUUCCUGUCAUUAAGCAAGCAUGCUACCAGCACGAACCUAACCAAGAUCUUGUACUGUUGCCAAAAGGAGGGGGAGGUGUGGGGGGGAGAAGAAUGUUUCUCCCCCAACCCCCAGACAGAGCCAUUGAUAUCAAUGGUCCUGCCCAACCACACAGCAACCCUCCACGCUAAUAUCCAAACAGGGGGAUGACCCACCCCCCCACUGACAUCCACAGUGACCCACAGGAUGCCAGUGAAUUUCAGGAUUUUUCAUAUGUGUUUGUAAAAAGAAAGGAAGUAAGGGAUUAUUUAACUUGUGGUAGAAAACGCUCUCUCUUAUGCAGUGGUGUGUACAUUCAUUCCAAUUUGCAUUUGAGUUGAAGACGACCUAGAAAUACGACACAAAAGAAACAGAAAAUGAAAAUAAAAAGUUGAAUACAGAGGGGGGAAAAGGCGGAAGAGAAUGUGGUGAAUUUAAUAGGGUGUAUAUACCAUGCAAAGGGACUACAGUUAUUACUUGAUUAUAUGUUGCAGUUGCUCACUAUAGCAUUCAGUUAAUGGGACAUUGGAAAGCAGCCAAAAACAUCCACAUGGUAUUUUCUCACCUUAACACCUAGCCAAUGGGUCCCUACCUACCAAAAUGUUCAACAACUAUAUGAAGCACUGUAUGCAGAAGUUGUUUCGACAUUGUGCUCAUGUUCUGAGGGUUAGCGAGGGGCUAAUGAAAAGACGCCUCAUUUGCAAGUGUAACGUGACAUUCUGCCAGCUUUAACACUGACAUAAAAACCUAAUACAGAUCUGUGAAAUUUUGCAGAAGGUUUUGUGCCACUGUCUCUGGUAUUCCCUGGAUAGUUUGGAGAUUUUACUUUUAAAGUGCAGUAAUGUGAAUGGACUGUACUUUAACUGUCACCCAUUCCAAUAGGACAGCUUUGACGACUUCAGGUUCUCACAAAAUCAUGUGUUCCGUAUACAGGUAGAAGUCAUCAGCCCCCAUUCUGCUAGCAUUGUCCUUUACAAUGUAUUCACUGUACUUCUGCUUACUUUAGUUUGGAUAGAGUAUACCAAGCAAGCACACACAAUCUUUAAAUACAGGUUCCCCCCUGAAUGCAUGCAAAGGAUGUUUUGACUUUCAUGGUUGCACCCAGUUUUAGGCACAUUUUCUUCAUAAUCGUUAGUGGACAUUAAUGGGUGUAAAAAUUAUUCAGUCUCAGCUUAGCUCCGCUUGCUUUAAGAACUCUGUUAAUAAGUGCACUGAAUGAGGGAUGACAAUUGUUUAAUGGAUCCGCUUUAGACACUGCAAUCGUUUGCAACGAUGUUUGUUUCUGCUUUUGCUCCAUAUUAUCAAAUCUAGGUCUUUCAUUUUAUUGUCAGAUUUUUUUUGUCCUUUUAUUUAAUUGCAGUGUUUUUGUUCAUACUGUUUCAAUAAACAACUGAAAACACUCCAAAUAUA
Long non-coding RNA from Oncorhynchus tshawytscha (Chinook salmon), 5358 nucleotides. Lineage: Eukaryota; Metazoa; Chordata; Actinopteri; Salmoniformes; Salmonidae. The record is from Ensembl.